GAUGAAGAACGUAGCGAAAUGCGAUAAGUAAUGCGAAUUGCAGAAUUCCGUGAGUCAUCGAAUCUUUGAACGCACAUUGCGCCCGCCAGUAUUCUGGCGGGCAUGCCUGUUCGAGCGUCAUUUCAACCAUCAAGCCCCGGGCUUGUGUUGGGGACCUGCGGCUGCCGCAGGCCCUGAAAUGCAGUGGCGGGCUCGCUGUCACUCCGAGCGUAGUAGUUACAUCUCGCUCUGGGCGUGCUGCGGGUUCCGGCCGUUAAAAGCCUUAUUUACCCAAGGUUGACCUCGGAUCAGGUAGGAAGACCCGCUGAACUUAAGCAUAUCAAUAAGCGGAGGA
RNAcentral lists this unclassified non-coding RNA (334 nucleotides) under soil metagenome. Its description in RNAcentral is "partial contains 5.8S ribosomal RNA, internal transcribed spacer 2, and large subunit ribosomal RNA". The stretch from base 1 to 120 matches the Rfam family "5.8S ribosomal RNA", at positions 35 to 154 of the family's 154-position model. The record is from RNAcentral.